This 447-nucleotide ribosomal RNA is filed under the name uncultured bacterium. RNAcentral describes it as "bacterial SSU rRNA". It matches the Rfam family "Bacterial small subunit ribosomal RNA", at positions 329 to 792 of the family's 1533-position model. The record is from RNAcentral.
UCCCAGACUCCUACGGGAGGCAGCAGUGGGGGAUAUUGCACAAUGGGGGAAACCCUGAUGCAGCGACGCCGCGUGAGUGAAGAAGUCUUUCGGUACGUAAAGCUCUAUCAGCAGGGAAGAAAAAUGACGGUACCUGACUAAGAAGCCCCGGCUAACUACGUGCCAGCAGCCGCGGUAAUACGUAGGGGGCAAGCGUUAUCCGGAUUUACUGGGUGUAAAGGGAGCGUAGACGGCUGUGCAAGUCUGAAGUGAAAUGCCGGGGCCCAACCCCGGAACUGCUUUGGAAACUGUGUAACUGGAGUACAGGAGGGGCAGGCGGAAUUCCCGGUGUAGUGGUGAAAUGCGUAGAUAUCAGGAGGAACACCGGCGGCGAAGGCGGCCUGCUGGACUGAAACUGACGUUGAGGCUCGAAAGCGUGGGGAGCAAACAGGAUUAGAUACCCUAGUA